RNAcentral lists this ribosomal RNA (425 nucleotides) under uncultured bacterium. Its description in RNAcentral is "partial 16S ribosomal RNA". It matches the Rfam family "Bacterial small subunit ribosomal RNA", at positions 354 to 796 of the family's 1533-position model. The record is from RNAcentral.
GUGGGGAAUCUUGCGCAAUGGGCGAAAGCCUGACGCAGCCAUGCCGCGUGAAUGAUGAAGGUCUUAGGAUUGUAAAAUUCUUUCACCGGGGACGAUAAUGACGGUACCCGGAGAAGAAGCCCCGGCUAACUUCGUGCCAGCAGCCGCGGUAAUACGAAGGGGGCUAGCGUUGCUCGGACUUACUGGGCGUAAAGGGCGCGUAGGCGGACAGUUUAGUCAGAGGUGAAAGCCCAGGGCUCAACCUUGGAAUUGCCUUUGAUACUGGCUGUCUUGAGUACGGGAGAGGUGAGUGGAACUCCGAGUGUAGAGGUGAAAUUCGUAGAUAUUCGGAAGAACACCAGUGGCGAAGGCGACUCACUGGCCCGUUACUGACGCUGAGGCGCGAAAGCGUGGGGAGCAAACAGGAUUAGAAACCCGGGUAGUCC